RNAcentral lists this ribosomal RNA (254 nucleotides) under uncultured bacterium. Its description in RNAcentral is "partial 16S ribosomal RNA". It matches the Rfam family "Bacterial small subunit ribosomal RNA", at positions 524 to 776 of the family's 1533-position model. The record is from RNAcentral.
UACAGAGGUCCCAAGCGUUGUUCGGAUUCAUUGGGCGUAAAGGGUGCGUAGGUGGCGUCGUAAGUCGGGUGUGAAAUCUCGGGGCUUAACUCCGAAACUGCAUUUGAUACUGCGGUGCUUGAGGACUGGAGAGGAGACUGGAAUUUACGGUGUAGCAGUGAAAUGCGUAGAGAUCGUAAGGAAGACCAGUGGCGAAGGCGGGUCUCUGGACAGGUUCCUGACACUGAGGCACGAAGGCCAGGGGAGCAAACGGG